RNAcentral lists this non-coding RNA (30 nucleotides) under Homo sapiens (human). The record is from RNAcentral. Lineage: Eukaryota; Metazoa; Chordata; Mammalia; Primates; Hominidae.
GCCCUUUGUGCAAAGCUGAGGCUUCAGGGA